RNAcentral lists this ribosomal RNA (775 nucleotides) under uncultured Neocallimastigales. Its description in RNAcentral is "partial large subunit ribosomal RNA". It matches the Rfam family "Eukaryotic large subunit ribosomal RNA", at positions 22 to 611 of the family's 3401-position model. The record is from RNAcentral. Lineage: Eukaryota; Fungi; Neocallimastigomycota; Neocallimastigomycetes; Neocallimastigales.
CGCAUCUGUGCAUGCAUGCAUAUCAAUAAGCGGAGGAAAAGAAACUAACAAGGAUUCCCCUAGUAACGGCGAGUGAAGCGGGAAGAGCUCAAAUUUGAAAUCUUAAAGGGUUUCCCUUUACGAAUUGUAGUUUAAAGAAGUGUUUUCUGUUGAGGUUUUGGUAAAAGUUCUUUGGAAUAGGACAUCAUAGAGGGUGAGAAUCCCGUAUUUGACCUUUACUUUCAACUUUGUGAUACACUUUCAAAGAGUCGGAUUGUUUGGGAAUGCAGUCCAAAAUGGGUGGUAAAUUUCAUCUAAAGCUAAAUAUUGGCGAGAGACCGAUAGCGAACAAGUACCGUGAGGGAAAGAUGAAAAGAACUUUGAAAAGAGAGUUAAACAGUACGUGAAAUUGUCAAAAGGGAAGCGUUUGACACCAGUGUUGUUUUUCUGAAAAUCAAUUAAAGAACUGUUUAUGCUAAGUUGUUUAGACUUUAUCAGCUAACUGUUUAGUUUUGAGCUUUUCUUUAAUGCACUUUUCAGUUAACAAGUCAACAUCAAUUUCUUUUGCUGUAAAAAAGCUUGAGGAAGGUGGCUUGAGAUUCGUCUUAAGUGUUUAUAGCCUCUUGCCUAUGCAGUCGGAGAGAUUGAGGUCUGCAGCGUAGAUCCUUCGGGGCUAAAUGCAUUUGUGCUAAGUUAUAACAUUUUAUAGACAACUUGUUGACUAUGAUUUGUCUUGUAGCUUACUCGCUUAUGUUAUUUUACCUACGCUUAGGAUGUUGAACGCGCACAGAGUCUC